Long non-coding RNA from Portunus trituberculatus (swimming crab), 206 nucleotides. RefSeq lists it as uncharacterized. The record is from RefSeq and is a predicted model, not a curated record. The transcript has 3 exons. NCBI's taxonomy places the organism in Eukaryota, Metazoa, Arthropoda, Malacostraca, Decapoda, Portunidae.
AGCAAUCCUGCCAGAAACAUGGCCCACCUGCCCCACCACUGAUCUGGUGACACAUGCAGAGAUCAAUUUUGCAACUUGCAUUUCAACAUUCCUGCUUGAAGUGCGGAUCUCCUGCCCUUCAGCACACAUGGCCAGUCACAUGCCAAGAAUCCUGUAAUUCAUCUAAUAGAGCCAGCUCACCCUCAGAAUCCCUCAAGGGUGACAAU